This 472-nucleotide ribosomal RNA is filed under the name uncultured bacterium. RNAcentral describes it as "bacterial SSU rRNA". It matches the Rfam family "Bacterial small subunit ribosomal RNA", at positions 355 to 825 of the family's 1533-position model. The record is from RNAcentral.
UGGGGAAUAUUGGACAAUGGGGGGAACCCUGAUCCAGCAAUGCCGCGUGUGUGAAGAAGGCCUGAGGGUUGUAAAGCACUUUCAGAGGGGAGGAGGACUAUUAGGUUAAGAGCUAGAUAGUUGGACGUUACCCUCAGAAGCAGCACCGGCUAACUCCGUGCCAGCAGCCGCGGUAAUACGGGGGGUGCAAGCGUUAAUCGGAAUUAUUGGGCGUAAAGGGCGCGUAGGCGGCAAUUCAAGUCAUCUGUGAAAUCUCCGGGCUUAACUCGGAACGGUCAGAUGAUACUGCUUUGCUAGAGUGCAGAAGGGGCAAUCGGAAUUCUUGGUGUAGCGGUGAAAUGCGUAGAUAUCAAGAGGAACACCUGAGGUGAAGACGGGUUGCUGGGCUGACACUGACGCUGAGGCGCGAAAGCCAGGGGAGCAAACGGGAUUAGAUACCCAAGUAGUCCCUGAGCGGGCUGGCAAGGCGCAU